GAUGAACGCUAGCUACAGGCUUAACACAUGCAAGUCGCGGGGCAGCAUGGGGGUUGCUUGCAAUCCCCGAUGGCGACCGGCGCACGGGUGAGUAACGCGUAUCCAACCUGCCCUUCACCACGGGAUAACCCGGCGAAAGUCGGACUAAUACCGUAUGUUGUCCAUUGACGGCAUCCGAUUUGGACGAAAGGUUUGGCGGUGAAGGAUGGGGAUGCGUCCGAUUAGCUGGACGGCGGGGUGACGGCCCACCGUGGCGACGAUCGGUAGGGGUUCUGAGAGGACGGUCCCCCACACUGGAACUGGGACACGGUCCAGACUCCUACGGGAGGCAGCAGUGAGGAAUAUUGGUCAAUGGGCGUAAGCCUGAACCAGCCAAGUAGCGUGCAGGAUGACGGCCCUAUGGGUUGUAAACUGCUUUUAUGCGGGGAUAAAGUGGCCCACGUGUGGGUUUUUGCAGGUACCGCAUGAAUAAGGACCGGCUAAUUCCGUG
Molecule: ribosomal RNA, 490 nt
Filed under: uncultured bacterium
Lineage: Bacteria
Description: partial 16S ribosomal RNA
Rfam family: Bacterial small subunit ribosomal RNA
Source: RNAcentral